UCGAGCUUUUGAUUGGUUGGUUUCACUGUCAAUCUCCCUGGAGGGAGGAGAGUGGGCGGGGCGAUGGUGCGUGCCCGCCGCGCCCCACGUGGCCUGAGCAGCUGCGCACGUGACGGAGGCCCACGACCGGGAAAACUUGUGGAAAAGGGAUUUGCGGUGACCACAGUGUCAUUCCUAAAUUAUAUUUGAAGGCUGCUGUUCCAUUGAUGAGUGUCAUUUCCUGACCUCACCCACGGCUGCAUGCCUGUGCAAUCUUUCCAUUUGAUCUCCUCUGGAGAAUCCUGUUAACAACCUGAUCAGCAGAACCGUGGAGCAGCUGAAAGUGCCGUUUUGGUGCUGAAGAGAGAACUCGAGAAAUGGGAUGUGCCUGUCACCCUGGUGAACAGGUCUGUGGGUGUUCGGUGAAAACGUGCUCUGCCUUGGAAGAGCCACAGAGCCCUUUACAGGUUAGUCACCAGCAGGAGGGACAGCUGCCAGCACAGCACAGCCAUGUGUGCUAGUGGCACAGACAGCGGACAAGAUCCGUGCAAACUCAGGCUACGCGAGUCAGUAAAGAGCAGUGAAUCUUCUGAUGGCUUCUCCAUUCAGUAAUGGUAACUGAUUUUUACAUUGAUUGGUGGGAAAAGAGCUCCAUUAAUAUGAAUGUGACUUCAUACUGGAUGUGUACAUACUUGUUACUGUAGUGCUGUAAGGAAUACAAAAGGCUCUGCAUAAAUCAAUACGAAUUAGUAAUAUAACUUUUGGAUGCACUUUGCCUCUCUUCCUCAUUGUUUAUUCAGUGUGUGGGAGCUGUCUGUGUCCUGCCUAUCCACAUGUAUUUUUCAUGUUGUAAGCAGACAUCACUAAUACUCCAAGAGUACAGGUUGCACGCUUUGGGAGAGAAGGAUCUGUCCAAGAUGCUGACCUUGUAUUUGCCAUAAGUAAAAAAAUAAUUAAAUAAUUUCCCUCUGUAAACUCUCUUUCCCCUUACUGGUGUUCUUUUGUGAGUGCUCCUUUCUAUGUUUUGCUCAGGGUGUGCAGGUGAAGGAAUAUGAUUUGUUUUGCAUAAGCCUAGGGAGCCAGAUAUUUUCAUUUCGGAGGAGCAAAAGAUACCACUCUCCCUUGUUCCUGUAGUUUCACACUACAAAACAAAUUUGAACUGUGGAAAGCAAGCAGAUUUUGUUGGUUUGGCUGAAGUUAUAAUGGAUGACUCAGAAGUUCCCACCCAGGUUCACCCGUGGAUUUGGAAGGAAUCACAGCUUCCAGUCAUGUUCUGGUUCUCAUGAAGUCCAAAUGCUUAGGAAAAAAAUAAUUCUUGCUGGUUUUUUCAUACCUCCCCAAUACCAGUCCUAUCCAAAAAAUGAAACCAAGUUGGACAGUGAAAUCGCAUUUUUUCAGCCACUGGAUGUCAGUAUUACACUACCACUGUGGGGCCUUUCCAGGUGCUGGGAAAGGUUGGAUUUCUUUGGGGUGAAAAUCUUUCCGCUCUGACAGUGAAUUGAUGAGAAAAACCAUUAUAGCUUUGGGGAUUGGUCUCACUGCAGUAUGAGUGUGCUCUUUGGCUCCUCAGGAAACAGGCUGGGACCCUGCCUGCAGAGCAUCAAACCUCACACAGCUUGUAGCCAGAGAGACAGACAGACUUCAGUGUUGGGGUCAAUUCCACAGCCUUUUGACUCUUACGUUAUGAAAAUACAUCACCUCUUCUUUUUUAAAAUGUACUUGUUAUAAAUACUGCAUCUGACAGGGAUACAGUCCAGAAGAAGCCUGCAUGAAGGCUAAAUGUGUCUAAACAAAAUGUGCUGCCAGCUUGGGACAAUUCUGAAUGCAGGAAUGAGAGAAGACAAGAAUUUAGAAACAGCUUUGAUAUUUGGAAUUUGUAGUUAGUGUUUUUGAGAUCAGACACUGGUUUAUUGUUUCCAAAAGUGCCAUGAUGUGAUUUUUUUUUUUAUAGGCUUGCUAGGUUUUUAAGUUAAUGUACGCAAAUGAGCUCUGGAUAGUCAGUCACUAAAAACUACUGAUACUUUCAGAAAAGAUCUUUGCUAACCCUGCCUUUUUUUCUGCUUUGCAUGCCCUAAGCAGCAGCUGUCUUGUGGAAACAGAAAGGAACCAACUACUUACCUGCAUAGUGAUUAAGAGAAAGGUUACUUUUUGGAAAGCCACAGUCAAGUGUGUGCUGAUGCUCUUUAUGGUGCCCUAUGUUUAAGUGUUUUCACAUGAAACGUGACAUUUAACAUAUGAUAUAAUGCUGUGCUUUAUCUGUGUCUAAAAUGCAGGCAGCACUGGAAAAGAAGAUUGCUGUUGUUAAAAAAAUUAUUCAUAAAAAAGUAAUAAAAGAACUGAUGUUCUCUUGUUCUAUAUAAA
This is a long non-coding RNA of Corvus hawaiiensis (hawaiian crow), 2340 nucleotides long. RefSeq lists it as uncharacterized. The record is from RefSeq and is a predicted model, not a curated record. The transcript is spliced from 2 exons. Lineage: Eukaryota; Metazoa; Chordata; Aves; Passeriformes; Corvidae.